UUGCUCUCUGUGUCUGCGUCCGUUUUUUACACCCCCUUUUGUUUUUGGCAAGCACUCGUGGUUUUGAUAGGAUUAAAUCCGAGGGUACCGUUUAAGAAUGCUGAGUGUCUUACAGGGGGCCUCUGGCCACUUGCUGAGCAUCUCAGUUCUUUUGGGAUGCGAGUGGAAUUUGUCGGAAGCCCGGCUGCCAAGUGGCUUCUGGAGAGGGGUGUGCGAUUAGAGGGGUGCUAGUCAAUUCUCCUGUUCCUUUGGGGGACAGUCUUUGGUGCUGUGUGGAUUAACCUUGAUGGGGAAUCUGUUAGUAGCUGGUAAUUUUCAGCUGCUAGAACUAGUUGUUUAGAGCUUGCCCCGUGGAUACAGGUACCUGCGACCUGCAGGUACCUUUUCAUACAUUCACUGGAGACGGUCUUAAAGAUUUUUGUUGUGAGCCGUGCCAUUGAUUAUGACCAUGAAACGCAUACAGGCUUUCUCCUCUCUGUUCCCACCCGUCUUAUGUCAUUUUCUUUAGAAAAUGUUUUUUAUUUCUAUGUUCCGUGAACGGUGGAACGGCUCUCCUUUAAAAAAUCCUGCUUAAGAAAUUGCAUUACCGUCUUCGGCUGGCGGUGUGUUGUUUUCACGACCCGCUGCCGGCAGCCUGCCUGUAGAAAUUGAAUCACUCGUAAGCCAGUUUUAAUUUUGGAAUUUUAUGAUCCAGGUAGGUAUAAUUUUUCAAAAUUAGUUUUAUACAGGCUUUUUUUCUAGCUGCCUUCAACAGGAUUCUGAAAUAGUCCUGAAAAAAAUUGCUCUUUUGCCCAGUGGUUUUAUGUUCUUUUCCCCCACUGAGGCCUGGGUCUAUGUCUGCCCUUUAGUGUGUCAUUCAGGCUGUGUAUCUGAGAGCCACUUUUUUCCCUUCAGUUUUUCUUUUUCUUCUCUGCUCUUAUGCCUGAAAGGAGGUUUUUGAUCAGCUUUCGUCCAUAUCCGAAAGUUAUAGGGACGAAGGGCUAAAUAAAUAAACAAUUUCCACAACACACCCCGUCCAUGACAGCACUUCAAGUGAGGGGUUUGUGUGGGGUGGGCUUUGGGGUUUUGCUUCAUGUAUUUGUAUAAAUAAAUAUUCCUUUGCCAUAAGAAUGUAUCACUUGAAAUAUUUUUCAUUUUUAAUGAAUCAAACUUCAUAACUUUGGAAAAUGGAGCAACAGUUCCUCUUUUUUUUUUUUUUCCCUUUUACAAAUAGCGUAAUUCCAACAUUGUGAGAUAAAAUGGCCAUGUCGAUUUUAAUCAGAAUAAAGUUGAGCCCUUUCAGAAGCAAAGUGUGGCUCCUGGUGGCCAUCCCUCCCUUCUCUGAAGUCAUUCCUUACCCUUGUGUUGCCACCACUGCGUAUUUUUUUUUUAAUUUGAUUGGCACAUAGUUGACUUACAGUGUAGUAUUAGCUUUAGCGCACAGCAAAGCCAGCUAUAUAUAUAUAUCUAUGUAUAUCGCCAUACUUCUUCAGAUUCUUUUCUCAUAUAGGUUAUUACAGCGUUUGGAGUAGAUUUCCCAGGGCUGUGCAGUAGGUCCUUGUUACUUACCUAUUGCAUACUUAGUAGGGUGUAUAUGUUAAUUCUAACCUCUGAAUUUAUCCCUUCCCCCAAUUUUCCCCAUAAGUUUGGUUUUGACAUCUUUGCCUCUGCUUCUGUUUUGUGAUUAUGUUCUUUGGUGUUAUGUUUUAUUAGAUUCCAGAUAUUAGUGAUCUCAUGUGGUAUUUGUCUUUGACUUACUUAGUCUGAUGAUUUCUAGGUCCAUCCAUACUGCUGCACAUGGCAGUGUUUUGUUCUUUUGUACCGCUAAUACUCCAUUGUGCGUCUAUACCGCAUCUUCUUUAUUCACUCCUCUGUUGAUGGACAUUUAGGUUGCUUCCACCUCCUAGAGUAAUGAAAAUAAAAACAAAAAUAAACAAAUGGGACCUCGUUAGACUUAAAAGCUCUUGCACUGCAAUGGAAACCAUACAAACAAACAGAAAGAUAACCCACAGAAUGGGAGAAAAUCUUUGCAGAUGAAGCGAGGGCUGUGAGAUUAAUCUCCAAAAUAUGUAAACCUCUCAUGCAGCUUUUAGAUCAAAAAAACACCGCACUCAAAAAAUGGUCACAAGAUCUAAAUAGACAUUUCUCCAAAGAAAACAGGCAGAUGGCUGAAAAGCACAUGAAAAGAUGCUCAACAUCACAAGUUACCCCCUCCUCAUCCCUGGAGGAAGCUUCCCUAUGGCCACCAAUCUUCACCUCUUUUCUGUCUAUGGUCCCUCUAGGUCUUAGGACCUUGCCUUUAUAAGUGAUUUCUCUCUACAUUGUGUGUGUGUGUGUGUGUGUGUGUGUGUGUGUGUGUCUGCACCAGAUCUCUCAAGUCAGCAAAUAGAUGCUCCAUUAAUUACCCCACCCCUACCCCAAGAGGCCUCGUCUCCCUGUUGCCUCUGCCUGCCUUACUGUCCCUCCCAGUUCACAGAUGUGGUUCCUUCGUAUCUUUCAUGUAUCACGUCACAUCCUACUCCCAGGGGACCCUCCCUAAUCUUCAUGCUUGAAGGAAGCAGGCAUCCUCCUUACACUAUUGUCUCUCCUUUCAUCAUCCUUUUCUUUAUAACAUUUAUGAACCUGAAUUUAUCAUCAUUUCUGUUUCCAUGCACUAAAAUGGCACUGGCACUGUCUUGGUUACUGUUUGUUUGUAGUCAUCCCCCAUGUAUUUUUGAGUGAAUGAGUGUUUUGAUACAUUGAAAGGAAAAAGUCCAUAAUGUUUUUACUUUGUCUUGUGCCAUAUAUUACAGAUGGAUUCUUUGAUGGGUGGACUAGAUGGACCAUUUUUAUGUUCUAUGAUUAUGAUAUUGUGAUUUUUGUUAGUUAGGAGCUAAAGACUGCAGAUUAUAGGUAGCGCAAACCUGUUCACUAUUAAGACGUACAUAUUUAAUUAAACCUUGUAAAUACAGUCAUGCUUCUGAGUCAUCGAUGUUUGACUGUAUCACUGCUUGUUUUGCCAAUGGUGCCAGUUUGACUUCAAAAAACUUGAUUU
This 3013-nucleotide long non-coding RNA is filed under the name Sus scrofa (pig). RNAcentral's name for it is "lncRNA (ENSSSCG00025014401.1)". The record is from RNAcentral. Lineage: Eukaryota; Metazoa; Chordata; Mammalia; Artiodactyla; Suidae.